UUUGGUAUGAAUUAUCUCCAUGUUCCCUGUAACCCACUUUAAUAUUAUCCAUUGCCUCUUCUGGCAUCUACUGUUAAGGGUAGUAGACUUGAUGGACUCAGCUUGGCCAGAAAGCAGCUCAAAGCUUCAGCAGAUGAUUUUGCUUUACGCAUUUAGGCCAGGGGAGGAUUUAUUAAUCAUUUUUUGUCUUUUCCAGGAGCAAAUGCUGCACUUGUCCUCUAACCAGACAGUACAACACUGAUACGGAGAUAUAUUAGAGCUUUUAUUUUCUAUAGAGCUGUUACUGGUAGCUCCUACUCCAUCUUCUUGGUGGGUAACUAUAUUUCACGGAUGGUUGUGCAUAGCUGUCAAAACCCUUCAUUACAAAAGCAAAACCUAUCUGUGUAGAAUGGGAUCCUUAAAAGAAAAAAACAAACAGAAAAAAAGAAAUAUAGCAAAUCCAUGGAUAGAUUUACAUUUCCAGGUAAAGUGAACUUUCAGUUUUGUAAACAGUGAAGGACAUAAAUGUAUUAACAAAAAUCACUGUGGUUUGAAAGAAGAACAUUAGUAAGCAAGUAUGGUGAAUAAAUGUACAAUAUUAAAAGGUUAGUAUGAAAAAUAUAGCUGCACCUUAGAGAUUGUUCAGGUGAUCCUUUAAGACCACUGUACUCUGGAGACUGUAUGUGUGCAUGCAAAGGGAACUACCUGCGUCCCUUUAGUUACCAGAUCUUUUACAGAAAGCAUUUUGCAGUGUUAGGAUCAAUAUAAUGGACAAUACCAAUUAUUCCCCUAUUCCCUUUCUUCCUGGUAAAGUCAAUUCAUGUGAUUCAUAGUUUUUAUAAGUGGGCAUGAAAUUCUGUCUCAGGCCAGGCCCAUAAUACAAAGUUUUGUCAGCACAGCUAUGUGUGAAUAAACCCGCACUCCCUAGCUGGCAUAGCUAAGCCAGCAAAAUCCCCGAUGCAGACACAACUAUGUUGACAGAAGAGUACUUCUGUUACCAUCACUAAAGUGGUGUUCUAACACUGGCAGAAAAACUCCUUUUGGAUAUGCUGUGUCUACACUAGGGGGAGCACUGCUGGUAUAGCUAUGCCGAUACAGCUAUACCCCAAUACCUGCAACACUUCUGCAAUAUA
Chrysemys picta bellii (western painted turtle) is the source of this 1112-nucleotide non-coding RNA. The record is from RefSeq and is a predicted model, not a curated record. NCBI's taxonomy places the organism in Eukaryota, Metazoa, Chordata, Testudines, Emydidae.